Molecule: ribosomal RNA, 585 nt
Filed under: uncultured bacterium
Lineage: Bacteria
Description: bacterial SSU rRNA
Rfam family: Bacterial small subunit ribosomal RNA
Source: RNAcentral
CCUACGGGAGGCAGCAGUGGGGAAUUUUGGACAAUGGGCGCAAGCCUGAUCCAGCAAUGCCGCGUGCAGGAUGAAGGCCUUCGGGUUGUAAACUGCUUUUGUACGGAACGAAACGGCCCUUUCUAAUACAAGGGGCUAAUGACGGUACCGUAAGAAUAAGCACCGGCUAACUACGUGCCAGCAGCCGCGGUAAUACGUAGGGUGCGAGCGUUAAUCGGAAUUACUGGGCGUAAAGCGUGCGCAGGCGGUUAUAUAAGACAGAUGUGAAAUCCCCGGGCUCAACCUGGGACCUGCAUUUGUGACUGUAUAGCUAGAGUACGGUAGAGGGGGAUGGAAUUCCGCGUGUAGCAGUGAAAUGCGUAGAUAUGCGGAGGAACACCGAUGGCGAAGGCAAUCCCCUGGACCUGUACUGACGCUCAUGCACGAAAGCGUGGGGAGCAAACAGGAUUAGAUACCCUGGUAGUCCACGCCCUAAACGAUGUCAACUGGUUGUUGGGUCUUCACUGACUCAGUAACGAAGNUAACGCGUGAAGUUGACCGCCUGGGGAGUACGGCCGCAAGGUUGAAACUCAAAUGAAUUGACGG